Molecule: unclassified non-coding RNA, 224 nt
Filed under: Hevea brasiliensis (rubber tree)
Lineage: Eukaryota; Viridiplantae; Streptophyta; Magnoliopsida; Malpighiales; Euphorbiaceae
Source: RNAcentral
GGAUGAAACUUUCUUUGAUUUGAGCCUUGACAUUGAGCAAAAUAGUUCAAUUACGAGCUGCCUCAAAAACUUCAGUUCAACAGAGACUCUGAAUGCUGAGGACAAGUUCUUCUGCGAUAAAUGUUGCAGUUUGCAGGAAGCUCAGAAGAGGAUGAAGAUUAAAAAGCCCCCUCACAUCCUAGUCAUCCAUUUGAAGCGUUUUAAGUACAUUGAACAGCUUGGUC